UGGAACGAGACGGGUGGCA
This 19-nucleotide non-coding RNA is filed under the name Arabidopsis thaliana (thale cress). Lineage: Eukaryota; Viridiplantae; Streptophyta; Magnoliopsida; Brassicales; Brassicaceae. The record is from RNAcentral.